RNAcentral lists this small nucleolar RNA (132 nucleotides) under Jaculus jaculus (lesser Egyptian jerboa). Its description in RNAcentral is "Small nucleolar RNA SNORA30/SNORA37 family (ENSJJAG00000008839.1)". Lineage: Eukaryota; Metazoa; Chordata; Mammalia; Rodentia; Dipodidae. The record is from RNAcentral.
UAAAAAAUGUGCACACAAGUCUUCUCUUAGGUAGUGGGGUUAGGAUUUGGUAACUGUUUCUUAGAGAAAACCCUUAAUUACAUCCUUGCUCUGAUACUGUACCAGUGGCAGCUGUCGCCAAGGGGAACAGAG